UUUACAUUUUUAGUAUUGAACUUAGCAGACGCUAAUAAAGGAACUUGCAAAAAGUUAACCACGUGAUUGCAGCGAACGCGGCUUUGUUUGGGCUGAAAAAUUCGUAAUCAAGAAAAGUGUUAUCAUCGCUGAAGGAAUGGCAGGAUCGGACACCUGUGAACAAGUGCAGUGCAAGCCCUGAAGAAAUAAAAUACUGGAUAUCAUCUUUAUUAUGGACGACUUCUCUGACUAAACUAGCAAGGAACAGUUAUGAGAAUAAAAUUAAGGAUAGGCUGGGAUUCCUUGGAUGUGCCUCUUGGACCAGAGAGCGAAUGGUGACUGAUCACGCUGGACGGAGUAGUUCCAGCCCUACCUCGUAAACUUGAGAGAGAGGGGCCGACCACCAGGGUCCAGGAGAAACACCACUGGAAUCAGCAGGUGAACUCUAGUGGCAUCUUUCAUUUCAAU
Molecule: long non-coding RNA, 447 nt
Organism: Sinocyclocheilus anshuiensis
Lineage: Eukaryota; Metazoa; Chordata; Actinopteri; Cypriniformes; Cyprinidae
Exons: 3
Source: RefSeq, a predicted model, not a curated record